AAUUCUAAUAUUAAUACUCUAAAUGGAUUGUAGAUUCUGAAGCAAUAGAUUAUAUAAUCAAUAAAUCCAAUUAUCUGUUACAUGAUAAUCUGAUAGGGAAUAUAGAAAAAGUGUAACUACCCAUGGGUUACUCCACCACAGUUUCUCAUGUUCGAAGUUUUCAGCUGGUUGAAGGUGAAGUGAUAGUGAUGUGUUGCGUGCACUAGUUUUUGAGUUUAAUAUUUUGC
Molecule: long non-coding RNA, 227 nt
Filed under: Capsicum annuum
Lineage: Eukaryota; Viridiplantae; Streptophyta; Magnoliopsida; Solanales; Solanaceae
Description: long non-coding RNA (CANN_LNC000722)
Source: RNAcentral